UGGGGAAUCUUGCGCAAUGGGCGAAAGCCUGACGCAGCAACGCCGCGUGAGCGAAGACGGCCUUCGGGUUGUAAAGCUCUUUUUGAGAGGAUGAGGAAGGACGGUACUCUCAGAAUAAGUCUCGGCUAACUACGUGCCAGCAGCCGCGGUAACACGUAGGAGGCAAACGUUAUCCGGAUUUACUGGGCGUAAAGCGCGUGUAGGUGGUUUGGUAAGUAGAGCGUGAAAGCUCCUGGCUCAACUGGGAGAGGUCGUUCUAAACUGCCGGACUAGAGGAUGGUAGAGGGAGGUGGAAUUCCGGGUGUAGCGGUGGAAUGCGCAGAUAUCCGGAGGAACACCAGUGGCGAAAGCGGCCUCCUGGACCACUCCUGACACUCAGACGCGAAAGCUAGGGUAGCAAACG
RNAcentral lists this ribosomal RNA (403 nucleotides) under uncultured prokaryote. Its description in RNAcentral is "bacterial SSU rRNA". It matches the Rfam family "Bacterial small subunit ribosomal RNA", at positions 355 to 774 of the family's 1533-position model. The record is from RNAcentral.